Molecule: ribosomal RNA, 496 nt
Filed under: uncultured bacterium
Lineage: Bacteria
Description: partial 16S ribosomal RNA
Rfam family: Bacterial small subunit ribosomal RNA
Source: RNAcentral
AUGAACGCUGGCGGCGUGCCUAAUACCUGCAAGUCGAGCGCACAGAUGAGGAGCUUGCUCCUCUGACGUUAGCGGCGGACGGGUGAGUAACACGUGGAUAACCUACCUAUAAGACUGGGAUAACUACGGGAAACCGGAGCUAAUACCGGAUAAUAUAUUGAACCGCAUGGUUCAAUAGUGAAAGACGGUUUUGCUGUCACUUAUAGAUGGAUCCGCGCCGCAUUAGCUAGUUGGUAAGGUAACGGCUUACCAAGGCAACGAUGCGUAGCCGACCUGAGAGGGUGAUCGGCCACACUGGAACUGAGACACGGUCCAGACUCCUACGGGAGGCAGCAGUAGGGAAUCUUCCGCAAUGGGCGAAAGCCUGACGGAGCAACGCCGCGUGAGUGAUGAAGGUCUUCGGAUCGUAAAACUCUGUUAUUAGGGAAGAACAAAUGUGUAAGUAACUAUGCACGUCUUGACGGUACCUAAUCAGAAAGCCACGGCUAACUACGUG